RNAcentral lists this unclassified non-coding RNA (209 nucleotides) under Hevea brasiliensis (rubber tree). Lineage: Eukaryota; Viridiplantae; Streptophyta; Magnoliopsida; Malpighiales; Euphorbiaceae. The record is from RNAcentral.
GAAAGAAGAGCAGUUACAAAACCCAUCCUCUGAUCAACCAAACGUUGUUCCUACUGCCUCUCAACUAGUCCCUGAAUCAACCAUCUCUUUACCCAUGUAAUAUGGCCUUAGAAGAACCAAAGCACAAGCCAGAAAAUCAGUUCUACCCAUUCCUCCAAAAAUCCAAGUAACCAUACCUGAAAAAGAACCCCUAAAGAAGAAGAAACAAG